GACGAACGCUGGCGGCGUGCUUAACACAUGCAAGUCGAACGGAAAGGCCCCUUUGGGGGUACUCGAGUGGCGAACGGGUGCGUAACACGUGAGUAACCUGCCCUUUACUUCGGGAUAACUUCAGGAAACUGGGGCUAAUACCGGAUAGGAAUCCUUGCUCCAUGGGGGGGGUUGGAAAGCUUCUGCGGUGUUGGAUGGACUCGCGGCUUAUCAGCUUGUUGGUGGGGUAGUGGGUUACCAAGGCUUUGACGGGUAGCCGGCCUGUGAGGGCGACCGGCCACAUUGGGACUGAGGUACGGCCCAGACUCCUACGGGUGGAAGCAGUGGGGAAUAUUGCACAAGGGGCGGAAGCCUGAUGCAGAAACGCCGCGUGCGGGAUGACGGCCUUCGGGUUGUAAACCGCUUUCAGCAGGGGCGAAGCUUGUGGUGACGGUACCUGCAGAAGAAGCACCGGCUAACUACGUG
This 465-nucleotide ribosomal RNA is filed under the name uncultured bacterium. RNAcentral describes it as "partial 16S ribosomal RNA". It matches the Rfam family "Bacterial small subunit ribosomal RNA", at positions 28 to 507 of the family's 1533-position model. The record is from RNAcentral.